GACGUAGGGUGCUAGCGUUAUUCGGAGUGAUUGGGCGUAAAGGGUGCGCAGGCGGUAUGCUAAGUCAAUUGUUAAAUUUCCCGGCUUAACCGGGAGCUCACAAUAGAUACUGGCGUGCUAGAGGGUGGAAGAGAGAGAUGGAAUUCUCGGAGUAGCGGUAAAAUGCGUAGAUCUCGAGAGGAACACCGAUGGCGAAGGCAGUCUCUUGGUCCAUUUCUGACGCUCAUGCACGAAAGCGUGGGGAGCAAACAGG
This 253-nucleotide ribosomal RNA is filed under the name uncultured bacterium. RNAcentral describes it as "partial 16S ribosomal RNA". It matches the Rfam family "Bacterial small subunit ribosomal RNA", at positions 524 to 776 of the family's 1533-position model. The record is from RNAcentral.